Molecule: ribosomal RNA, 399 nt
Filed under: uncultured bacterium
Lineage: Bacteria
Description: bacterial SSU rRNA
Rfam family: Bacterial small subunit ribosomal RNA
Source: RNAcentral
UGGGGAAUCUUGGACAAUGGGCGCAAGCCUGAUCCAGCGACGCCGCGUGGGUGAUGAAGGCCUUCGGGUUGUAAAGCCCUUUCACCGGGGACGAUGAUGACGGUACCCGGCGAAGAAGCACCGGCUAACUCCGUGCCAGCAGCCGCGGUAAGACGGAGGGUGCUAGCGCUGUUCGGAAUCACUGGGCGUAAAGGGCGCGUAGGCGGCUGGGGCAGUCGGGUGUGAAAGCCCGGAGCUCAACUCCGGAAUUGCACUCGAGACGCCACGGCUGGAGGCCGGAAGAGGAGGGUGGAAUACCCAGUGUAGAGGUGAAAUUCGUAGAUAUUGGGUGGAACACCGGUGGCGAAAGCGGCUCUCUGGUCCGGUACUGACGCUGAGGCGCGAAAGCGUGGGGAGCAA